RNAcentral lists this long non-coding RNA (718 nucleotides) under Citrus maxima (pomelo). RNAcentral describes it as "long non-coding RNA (CMAX_LNC002258)". The record is from RNAcentral. Lineage: Eukaryota; Viridiplantae; Streptophyta; Magnoliopsida; Sapindales; Rutaceae.
UCGGUUACAACCUAUUCCAAAAUUCAAAUCAAUUGAAAAAUGACUCAAACCCCAGCCAGGUAGUCACCUAAAUUCCAAAAUCAAAUACGAGCCCAGCUCCAUGAUGCAAAAAAGAAAAGCAAAAAUUAUUACCAAAUGAAAAACGUAUAUAAUUGAUUAAUAACCCAUUACCAUAAACACUCAAGACAACAACAAUUACAAUGUUAAUAAACCAAAUCAGCACCAAUUACAAAACCAAACCAGCACCAAUUACAAACAGCCAUUACAUAAAAGAAAAUUGAACAGAUUUAGUGCCUGAAACCCCUCUUACCCAUGCCCAAAAGAAAAUUGAAUUACAACAGCAACAUUUUCAUCACGUCAGCCGCAGAAGAAGAUUGAAUUACAAACAGCCAUUCACGCCCAUUUGGAAUCGCAUUUAUAAGCUCACCUUGUGUGGCUGACAAUGGCGAACAAAGCCAGAGGUAGCUAGAACAGAGAUGAUAGCAACUGGAACGAGGAACCAAAUGGAGAAAAGCUAGAAGCCGCAGCGUCGGCUCACUUGAACGGAAGUGACAGCAGUGACAGCGUGGUGGGCGUUUGUUUCCGGCGGCAGUGGCUAUAACGUAGCUGUGGCUGUGUGUUGUGAGUGAACGUUCGUUCUCUCUUAGGAAUGGCAAUGGGGCGGGGUGGGGGUGGGGAUGCCUACCCCAUUCCCCACCCCAUUAAAAUUUUUUGCCUC